This 468-nucleotide ribosomal RNA is filed under the name uncultured bacterium. RNAcentral describes it as "partial 16S ribosomal RNA". It matches the Rfam family "Bacterial small subunit ribosomal RNA", at positions 28 to 507 of the family's 1533-position model. The record is from RNAcentral.
GAUGAACGCUGGCGGCGUGCUUAACACAUGCAAGUCGAACGGAAAGGCCCAAGCUUGCUUGGGUACUCGAGUGGCGAACGGGUGAGUAACACGUGGGUGAUCUGCCCUGCACUUCGGGAUAAGCCUGGGAAACUGGGUCUAAUACCGGAUAGGACGAUGGUUUGGAUGCCAUUGUGGAAAGUUUUUUCGGUGUGGGAUGAGCUCGCGGCCUAUCAGCUUGUUGGUGGGGUAAUGGCCUACCAAGGCGUCGACGGGUAGCCGGCCUGAGAGGGUGUACGGCCACAUUGGGACUGAGAUACGGCCCAGACUCCGACGGGAGGCAGCAGUGGGGAAUAUUGCACAAUGGGCGCAAGCCUGAUGCAGCGACGCCGAGUGGGGGAUGACGGCCUUCGGGUUGUAAACUCCUUUCGCUAAGGACGAAGCGUUUUUGUGACGGUACCUGGAGAAGAAGCACCGGCUAACUACGUG